UACGUAGGGUGCGAGCGUUGUCCGGAAUUAUUGGGCGUAAGGGGCUCGUAGGCGGUCUGUCACGUCGGGAGUGAAAACUCAGGGCUUAACCCUGAGCCUGCUUCCGAUACGGGCAGACUAGAGGUAUGCAGGGGAGAACGGAAUUCCUGGUGUAGCGGUGAAAUGCGCAGAUAUCAGGAGGAACACCGGUGGCGAAGGCGGGUCUCUGGGCCGAUACUGACGCUGAGGAGCGAAAGCGUGGGGAGCGAACAGG
This 253-nucleotide ribosomal RNA is filed under the name uncultured bacterium. RNAcentral describes it as "partial 16S ribosomal RNA". It matches the Rfam family "Bacterial small subunit ribosomal RNA", at positions 524 to 776 of the family's 1533-position model. The record is from RNAcentral.